UUCCUACGGGGCGCAGCAGUGAGGGAUAUUGGUCAAUGGGGGAAACCCUGAACCAGCAACGCCGCGUGAGGGAAGACGGUUUUCGGAUUGUAAACCUCUGUCCUCUGUGAAGAUAAUGACGGUAGCAGAGGAGGAAGCUCCGGCUAACUACGUGCCAGCAGCCGCGGUAAUACGUAGGGAGCGAGCGUUAUCCGGAUUUAUUGGGUUUAAAGGGUGCGUAGGCGGACUGGAAAGUCAGCGGUAAAAUCGAGAGGCUCAACCUCUUUCCGCCGUUGAAACUGUCGGUCUUGAGUGGGCGAGAAGUA
Molecule: ribosomal RNA, 305 nt
Filed under: uncultured bacterium
Lineage: Bacteria
Description: bacterial SSU rRNA
Rfam family: Bacterial small subunit ribosomal RNA
Source: RNAcentral